This 395-nucleotide ribosomal RNA is filed under the name uncultured bacterium. RNAcentral describes it as "bacterial SSU rRNA". It matches the Rfam family "Bacterial small subunit ribosomal RNA", at positions 29 to 420 of the family's 1533-position model. The record is from RNAcentral.
AGUGAACGCUGGCGGCAGGCCUAACACAUGCAAGUCGAACGGCAGCGGGUCAGUAGCAAUACUGAUGCCGGCGAGUGGCGGACGGGUGAGGAAUACAUCGGAAUCUACCUUGUCGUGGGGGAUAACGUAGGGAAACUUACGCUAAUACCGCAUACGAACUAUGGUUGAAAGCGGCGGACCGCAAGGCGUCGCGCGAUUGGAUGAGCCGAUGUCCGAUUAGCUAGUUGGCGGGGUAAAGGCCCACCAAGGCGACGAUCGGUAGCUGGUCUGAGAGGAUGAUCAGCCACACUGGAACUGAGACACGGUCCAGACUCCUACGGGAGGCAGCAGUGGGGAAUAUUGGACAAUGGCGCAAGCCUGAUCCAGCCAUGCCGCGUGUGUGAAGAAGGCCUCGG